GUAGGAGUGGUAACCAGAUUAAAUCGGGUAUGUUUUUUAUCCAGCCGUGUCAAUGCUGCCCCCUAGCCCUAACAGGUUAAAACAUCAAGCCAUGGUGUAAUUCUGCUACUGCAGUUACAGCACAGGUUGGCUUUUUAUUUGAGGAUUAGAUUGUUAUUGUUACAACUGUUUAUAAGGAAAAUACAGACACAUUUUAUAUGUUCAAAUCAUGUUGGAAAUCAAUGAAAGCAUAUUUUGUUGUUGUUGCAAUAUACAACUGGGAAGAGUCCAAGGACAAUUGUAGAGGGUGAAACCAAAUCUGGUAAAUCAAAUCAAAUGUAUUUAUAUAGCCCUUCUUACAUCAGCUGAUAUCUCAAAAUGCUUUACAGAAACCCAGCCUAAAACCCCAAACAGCAAGCAAUGUAGGUGUAGAAGCACGGUGGCUAGGAAAAACUCCCUAGAAAGGCAGGAACCUAGGAAGAAACCUAGAGAGGAACCAGGUUAUGAGGGGUGGCCAGUCCUCUUCUGGCUGUGCCGGGUGGAGAUUAUAACAGAACAUGGCAAAGAUGUUCAAAUGUUCAUAAAUGACCAGCAUGGUCAAAUAAUAAUAAUCACAUUGGUUGUAGAGGGUGCAACAGGUCAGCACCUCAGGAAUAAAUGUCAGUUGGCUUUUCAUAGCCGAUCAUUGAGAGUAUCUAUACCACUCCUGCUGUCUCUAGAGAGUUGAAAACAGAAGGUCUAGGACAGGUAGCACGUCUGGUGAACAGGUCAGGGUUCCAUAGCCGCAGGCACAACAGUUGAAACUGGAGCAGCAGCACGGCCAGGUGGACUGGGGACAGCAAGGAGUCAUCAUGCCAGGUAGUCCUGAGGCAUGGACCUAGGGCUCAGGUCCUCUGAGAGAGAGAAAGAAAGAAAGAAAGAGAGAAUUAGAGAGAGUAUACUUAACCUGUUGGGGAUAGGGGGCAGUAUUUGCACGGCCGGAUAAAAAACGUACCCAAUUUAAUCUGGUUACUACUCCUGCCCAGUAACUAGAAUAUGCAUAUAAAACACCCU
RNAcentral lists this long non-coding RNA (1032 nucleotides) under Salmo salar (Atlantic salmon). RNAcentral describes it as "lncRNA (ENSSSAG00000095157.1)". Lineage: Eukaryota; Metazoa; Chordata; Actinopteri; Salmoniformes; Salmonidae. The record is from RNAcentral.